This 1110-nucleotide ribosomal RNA is filed under the name uncultured organism. Its description in RNAcentral is "bacterial SSU rRNA". It matches the Rfam family "Bacterial small subunit ribosomal RNA", at positions 329 to 1468 of the family's 1533-position model. The record is from RNAcentral.
GNCCAUACUCCUACGGGAGGCAGCAGCAGGGAAUAUUGCACAAUGGACGGAAGUCUGAUGCAGCGACGCCGCGUGGAUGAAGAAGGCCCUCGGGUUGUAAAAUCCUUUACAGGGGGAAGAGGAAGGACGGUACCCCUGGAACAAGUGUCGGCUAACUACGUGCCAGCAGCCGCGGUAAGACGUAGGACACAAGCGUUAUCCGGAUUUACUGGGCGUAAAGCGUCUGCAGGCGGACAGGUAAGUUGGGCGUGAAAGCUCCGGGCCCAACCCGGAGAGGUCGUUCAAUACUGCGUGUCUAGAGGGUGUCAGAGGGGAGUGGAAUUUCCGGAGUAGCGGUAAAAUGCGCAGAGAUCGGAAAGAACACCAAUGGCGAAGGCAGCUCCCUGGGGCAACCCUGACGCUAAGAGACGAAAGCUAGGGGAGCGAACAGGAUUAGAGACCCUGGUAGCCCUAGCCCUAAACGAUGGAUGCUGGAUGUGGGGCCAUAGCGCUCCGUGUCGAAGCGAACGCGUUAAGCAUCCCGCCUGGGGACUACGGCCGCAAGGUUAAAACUCAAACGAAUUGACGGGACCCCGCACAAGCAGCGGAGCGUGUGGUUUAAUUCGAUGCUACACGAAGAACCUUACCUGGGUUUGACAUCUAGGUGGUAGUGAAGCGAAAGCGGAGCGACCCUUCGGGGAGCCUAGACAGGUGCUGCAUGGCUGUCGUCAGCUCGUGCCGUGAGGUGUCGGGUUAAGUCCCGUAACGAGCGCAACCCUUGCCCUCCGUUAUACGUGUCAGAGGGGACUGCCGGCGGUAAGCCGGAGGAAGGUGGGGAUGACGUCAAGUCAGCAUGGCCUUUAUAUCCAGGGCUACACACACGCUACAAUGGCCAGUACAAAGGGCAGCGAAGCCGCGAGGUGGAGCGAAUCCCAGCAAAGCUGGUCGUAGUUCGGAUUGCAGGCUGCAACCCGCCUGCAUGAAGCUGGAGUUGCUAGUAACCGCGCGUCAGCCAUAGUGCGGUGAAUACGUUCCCGGGGUUUGUACACACCGCCCGUCACGUCAUGGGAGUCGAUAACGCCUGAAGCCGGUGGCCUAGCUCGGAAGAGAGGGCGCUGUCUAAGGCGGGGU